AGGCUAUAUACAGGGGGUACUGGUACAGAGUCAAUGUGGAGGCUAUAUAGAGGGGGUACUGGUACAGAGUCAAUGUGGAGGCUAUAUACAGGGGGUACAGAGUCAAUGUGGAGGCUAUAUACAGGGGGCACCGGUACAGAGUCAAUGUGGAGACUAUAUACAGGGGGUACUGGUACAGAGUCAAUGUGGAGGCUAUAUACAGGGGGUACUGGUACAGAGUCAAUGUGGAGGCUAUAUACAGGGGGUACUGGUACAGAGUCAAUGCGGAGGC
Oncorhynchus tshawytscha (Chinook salmon) is the source of this 271-nucleotide long non-coding RNA. Lineage: Eukaryota; Metazoa; Chordata; Actinopteri; Salmoniformes; Salmonidae. The record is from Ensembl.